GAAAAGCGACUGUCGCGGGCGUAUUUUACGCGUGAGGAAAGUCGGGACAGCACAGAGCGACAUACUUCCUAACGGGAAGCCUUUGGAGACAAAGGAAGAAAGUGCCACAGAAAAUUACCGCCCGAAAGGGUAAGGGUGAAAACGCGAGGCAAGAGCUCACGCAUCUCCGUGGUGACACGGACCUGGGGUAAACCUUAUGGGCUGCAAAACCAAAUAUACCGAUGAUGGCCUUCGGGCUGAAAGGGCUGCUCGUCCGAGUCGGGUGGGUGGGUUGCUAAAGCCUUCCGGUGACGGCUGGCUUAGAGAAAUGACAGUCACUCAGAAAUGAGAACAGAAUCCCGCUUACGCUUUUCUUUC
Molecule: RNase P RNA, 357 nt
Filed under: Bacteroidia bacterium
Lineage: Bacteria; Pseudomonadati; Bacteroidota; Bacteroidia
Description: RNase P RNA component class A
Rfam family: Bacterial RNase P class A
About the family: Ribonuclease P (RNase P) is a ubiquitous endoribonuclease, found in archaea, bacteria and eukarya as well as chloroplasts and mitochondria. Its best characterised activity is the generation of mature 5'-ends of tRNAs by cleaving the 5'-leader elements of precursor-tRNAs.
Source: RNAcentral